This is a long non-coding RNA of Triticum aestivum (bread wheat), 671 nucleotides long. RefSeq lists it as uncharacterized. The record is from RefSeq and is a predicted model, not a curated record. The transcript has 2 exons. NCBI's taxonomy places the organism in Eukaryota, Viridiplantae, Streptophyta, Magnoliopsida, Poales, Poaceae.
AUCUCCGCUCGCCUCUAUGAGAGAAAACGGCGACCGCUUCGGCGGCGCCGCGCAGCAGAAGCAUGGCGGCGUGCCGGCUCCGUUCGCCGGAGAAGCUUACUGCGGACCAACGCCGUGUGCUUCCUCGUCGAACGGUGGCGACCACGCUGCACGCGCAUGGACCGGAGGAGCACAUCUCGCCGGCGGGCGCCGGCGCAAUCUUUGGUGGUGACGGCGGCGAGCAAACGCACGGAGCGUUGGCUGCGCGCGUCCAUUAGAGAGGCGAUCGGCCAGGCGCAUCAUUCCGGCCGUCGUCCCGAAGGACGACGUCCUUCUUGCCAUGGUACUUGGCGAUAUCUCGAUGCAGCCCCUGUGUAGCCCACGGCUGCACCUUUGUGUCUCCAGUGGCGAGGAGAUGUUGGGGAAGAAGCAGCACGGUGGCGAGGAUGACAGCAGGGUUGCCGCAGGCACAGCUCUGCGGUGGCCGGUGGUGGAGAUGGCCUUCACAUACCUCAGCACAUAUUCAGGAUCGGCAGUUAGGUGGUUUAGAUCGAUAUGUUGUUAUCCAUAAUGAAAACCCCCUUUUCCUUAUAUAUGUGUGUGUGCUGGGUACAUGGAACCAAAACCAAACGUGUGGAUGUGUGGUGUGCUUCCGAUCAUUGCACACCUGGGGUCAAAAGGCUCCCCUUUUC